RNAcentral lists this microRNA precursor (78 nucleotides) under Trichobilharzia regenti. Its description in RNAcentral is "mir-3492 microRNA precursor family". It matches the Rfam family "mir-3492 microRNA precursor family". The record is from Rfam by way of RNAcentral. Lineage: Eukaryota; Metazoa; Platyhelminthes; Trematoda; Strigeidida; Schistosomatidae.
AGCCCACUGUAUUCGUACUGAGAUUUCGUCAGAGAUCAAUCCGUUGGGGCUGGUGCAACUUCAUGAAUAAGUGAAGCG